Molecule: unclassified non-coding RNA, 296 nt
Filed under: uncultured Basidiomycota
Lineage: Eukaryota; Fungi; Basidiomycota
Description: sequence contains ITS2
Source: RNAcentral
ACACAUCAACGUACACAAGUUUUCUAUGACUACUUGCUCUGCUGCUUGGAUGUUGAAGGCUUUGCUGGCAGUCAACCAUUGUCAGCUCCUUUUAAAUUCAUUAGCAGGAACUACGCAAAACUGGCUUCAGUUUGAUAAGAUUGAACUGCUGCCAAAGAUGCGGUUGUUUUCCAGCUUCUAACUGUCCAGUGCAUUAACUGGACUCCAGUGCAUUAACUGGAAAGGCUCAUUCAUUAACUGGACUCCAGUGCAUUAACUGGAAAGGCUCUUUCUUGAGCCAAAUGAAUGACAACACA